This 376-nucleotide long non-coding RNA is filed under the name Rattus norvegicus (Norway rat). Its description in RNAcentral is "long non-coding RNA NONRATT012797". Lineage: Eukaryota; Metazoa; Chordata; Mammalia; Rodentia; Muridae. The record is from RNAcentral.
CCAUGAAGCCGCAGCCGCCGGGCUAGGCCCGGGGCGGCUCCACGCCUGGGCAGCCCGCAGAGGGCUGGGCCGGUUCCCGGCUCGGGUUCCCAGGGCGGCAGGUGGCCGCUCACCAUGCCCGGCAAGCAUCAGCAAUUCCAGGACCCUGAGGUUGGCUGCUGCGGGAAAUACUUUCUGUUUGGCUUCAACAUUGUCUUCUGGGUGCUGGGAGCCCUGUUCCUGGCCAUCGGCCUCUGGGCCUGGGGUGAGAAGGGCUGACAGAUCUAGGCGGUCUUGACCCCGUGUGGCUGUUUGUGGUGAUUGGGGGAAUCAUGUCAGUGCUGGGCUUUGCCGGCUGCAUUGGGGCCCUCCGGGAAAACACCUUCCUGCUCAAAUU